RNA transcript from Thalassophryne amazonica, 9147 nucleotides. It is a transcript of the gene named EH domain binding protein 1-like 1a, with no coding region annotated. Lineage: Eukaryota; Metazoa; Chordata; Actinopteri; Batrachoidiformes; Batrachoididae. The record is from RefSeq and is a predicted model, not a curated record. The transcript is spliced from 8 exons.
GAUGUUCCCGUACCAAUCAUGGGGAGGAAACUGGGGUAUAGCACUGAUGCCUCUGAAGAUGUUCCUUCAACAAUUAAUUAUUUUGACAGCAUGUCAAAACAAGAAGAAUCUCAAGAGAAUUUUGCACUCGCUUCUACAGCUUUCGCCACUCGAUCUGAACUGGAGAAAGAAGGAACUGAAAAACCAUCAGUCUUAGGCAUCGGCAAUGAAGAAGAGUGUACAUACAUAUCUAAGGUUGAACUUGUGCCAGUAUCGCCAAGAGGAAAUUCUUUUUCACAUUUCCAAUCCACUUUAGAACUUGAACAGGCUGAAGGAAUAGUGAGUGUACCGAGUAUAACUAGCUCACUGGCAAAUUACCCACGGUUUUCCAGUAUUUGCGGAAUGCCAUCUUUACAUCCGUCAGAAAAUAUAUCUUGGCCCAGUGGUAGAUUAUUGCUGGAGUUACCCCGUCAAAGAUUACCAUUACUUCUGUGUUCACAUUGUGUUAUUCCCCUUUGUGAUGGUAGAGUCAAAAACAUGGUGGACAUGGCACCAUCAUGUCCCCCCUCUGUUAGUGUUCCUGGAUUUCCAUCUGUGCCGAAAUGCAUGCUAAGUAUGGUUCAUCAUUUGCUUUCAUGUCCCUACAAUUCCCAGAUUCCAGGGUUACCCUCUGUGAGACCAGUGAUUGGAUAUAAGAAAUACGUCUGGGACACAGGUGCUCUGUGGAAUAAGCCAUUACUGACACAAAAAGUAUUUCCUUCACAGAUACAUAGUAUACAGGAAUACGCUUUAAAAGAUAUCAACAUGAUUAAACUCAUGGUGGCCAUAUUGCCAACAUGUUGUGCAAAGGCAUGUACUCCAGGGUUUCCGUCUGCACAACAACGGAAGGUUUCAGUGACUCCAAGUAUGACCAGCUUUCUACCUACAUGCCCCAAAUCGACGAUGGUUCCAGGUAUGCCAUGCCAACAAAUAGGUAAAAUAUGGAAUGAAAAGAUGCAUACCUGUAGGGAUUUCAUUUUCGAUAGACCAUUGAGAAAGAAUUUGGUUGUGGUACAGGAAAAGUCACAAAAGGACAGUGAACAUAUAAAGUAUAUGGCCAAUAUGUUGCCAUCUUGUCCCUGGAAGGCCACCAGCCCUGGGUUUCCUUCUGCCUUGCAAAAUGUUUCCAGUCGACAAGGUUUCCCAUCUACGCUGAGCCAACAUCCUAGUAUGGCUAAUUUUCUACCAACAUGCCCCAGUAAAACCAGAAUAUUUGGUUUCGCUUCUAAAGAGCCAGUCAGUGAUACUGAGGAGAAUUUCGAUGUGACUCUGCAUAUUUUAUUGGAAAAACCCUUCAUAGCACGUGAAGUGUUAAUUGAUGAAACCUUUCUAGGUGAUGCUGAAGAUCUACACAAAAAAGCCAUGUUUAGUUCAGAAGCAGGGUUGUCGUGUCACCAAAAGACUCUUGUUGGUUGGCCAACAGGACCAGAGAGAUCUUUACCAAGUAUUAGUCUUGUCUCUCUAUGUACUGAAGGGGCACAAAUUCCUGGUAUGACAUCUAAAGUUCCAAGCAUCUUAGAAAACAAAGACUGGCAUGCCCUGAAGACGUCAGUUAAGAAAAAAAUAGAGAAGACAACAAAUGCAGUCCUGGUUCAGGAGAUUCCAUGGAAAGACGAGGACCGUGUUGUGGACAUGAUGGAUAUGCUGCCAAGUUGCCCAGUGCAAGCCAAGGUUUUUGGGUUACCUUCAGCUCCACAAGAACCGCCCAGUAUGGUUAAUAUCAGACCCUCAUGCCCUCGACAUAGUAGAGUCGCUGGUUUGCCUUCAAGGAGACUCUGUUUUUUCAGCUGCAAGGAAUGGUUUGCCUAUAAAAGUUCAUGUUGGGAGAGGACACAGAGGAAACAAGACUUGCACAAAAUUGUAAAUGUAGUCUCUUGCUUUGAUUCAAAUAUUGCAUUAUUACCAUGUUGCCCAAAGAACUCGAGUAUACCUGGCUUCUCGUCUGCUCUGACGCAGACAUUAACUGAUCGCCCAAGUAUUGUGAAAUUGUUGCAGACUUGUACAAAGGAAUCCAAAAUUCCUGGUAUACCGUUGAAAGACCCAACUAAUCUGUUGGAGUGGGUAGUGGAAAGGAAGUCACUGCUUCUCCCCAGGAAGCCGUGUGCAACCCUGUUUCCUGUAGAGGCUAUUAGUGUGGUCAACUUUGAUGGUGAUAUGGUUACAACCAUGUGGUCCAUGUUGCCAUCUUGCCCACGGAAGGCACGCUUACCUGGGUUUCCAGCACUACUCCAUUGGAUGUUGGUAGAUAAACCAAGGAUGAUCAGUUUGCUGCCUACUUGUCCAACAAAAUCAAGAAUUUGUGGAAUGGCUUCUAUAAUUUCCAGUAAGUCAGAUGGAGCAGACUGGAAUCGGCACAAAAGGGCAAUAUGGGAAAAACCAUGUCCAGACCCAGAAAGACUUUCAGUAACACACACUCAAAAGAUAUAUUUAUGCAGUGAGGCAAUGGUGGAAAUAAUGGUGUCAAUGUUGCCGCCAUGUCCCAAACAUUGUAAUAUUUAUGGAUUUCCCUCUAAGUUGGGACAGAGACCAGCGCAGCCUUUGAUGAAAGAAGUCCCCAACAUGGUUACAUCAUUAGCUACUUUACCAAAACACAGUAAAGUUCCAGGUCUAUCUGCAAGGAACACUACAGCAGAAUGUGAUGCCUGGGAUGCUGCCAAAAAUGUAGUUUUGGGUAAUCCACUGAAAAGAAUACCCAGGAUUGUUUGUGAAGAGUUUGGAGUCGAAGAAAUACCAUAUCGUGAGAGGGAAAUAAUGCUAAGUAUACUUCCAUCAUGUCCAAGACAAGCUCUCAGUGCUGGAUUUCCAUCUGCUGAAAGACCUCAAGCAUUGAGUAGUGUAGCUGAAAAAAAUCCAAAUUUGGGACAGACAAGAGAUUCAUAUGAUUCUCUUGAAGGACUCAUUUGUCCAGAUGUUCUAAAGUCCAUAUCUGUCUCAAGAGAAACCAACAUAACUGGUUUUCCAUCUGUGACAUCCUCUGAGGAAGAUGCUUUGGAAGUAGGUACAACCAGUUCUUUCUCGUAUAGCACAAGCUAUUCCAGUGUUGGUGGCAUUCCAUCUUCAGAGAAGGUUGACAGAGGACAUGGGAGAUGUCCUCAACUAUCAUUGGAAAUACAGUCCUGUUUUAAGCUGUCCGACAGAGAGAUGUCUAUGAGGUUUACUUCCCCCAACGAAAAUGUACCAGAGAAUGUGAUCACUGAAACACCGUCCAGUCCUGUUGAGGCAAUCGUCACAAACAUUUCAUCAUCAGCUUCCGAAGUCCAAGUGGACCAGCCAUCACACCAUGAGACCAGUCCAGGCAAAUUAGAUUUCAGCAUAAAAGAAGCAGCCGAAUCCGAUGCCGCUUUGCCAUCAGAGAUGCGUACACAUGAAUACAGCUACUGGAUACCAAUUGAGGCUGAGCAAGUACCAGUCCCAGAAAAACGAGAUUUGCUUUGCGGAAUGUGGCAUUCCAUUCCUGAUAUGCCGUUAUAUUUAAGUGUGACAAAGAGUUGUUUCAGCUCCAUGGGUGAAAGUGAUCCUCGCGGAACAGAGCUGUCACUGUCUGAUUUGGGUGAUAUUGUUGGUAAAGAAGCAGCACCUGCUGACGUCAGUGAAACAGAUCACUAUUUGAAACCUUUAGAAAGGUCCAAAGAAGAUGAUUCCGUAGAGACAAUGUUACAACUCAGUAUGGGAAAAGAUGUCAUUACCAGGCCUCGUGGUGCUGUGGAUCAAGGGUGUGACAGACAUUCUGAGCCUGGACCUGAAAGCAAGGUUUCACCGCAUCAACCUUACUCAAUUAUCGAUGGUGCAGCAGGACUUCCAUCCAUCCAAACUAUUAACGCUGUGCAGCAGUUAGAAAAAUACCCUCCAGACAACAGAAUAUUUUCGGAAGAGGUACCAGAGAUGACUAUGAAAGUUACUCCAGAAAUACCAGAGGAAGAAAGGGAACAGAUAAAAAUAACGGUCAGUACAGCCCCGUCAUCCUCUGCUGCUGCAAGAACCUCAAGUCUCCAGUACACAACGUUACAUACUGACGACGGAAGGAAUGCAAGGACAGAAGAGAAUAUGAUAGAUUUAAUGCCAGUUUCCCCAAGAGGCACUGCAAUAUUUGAACUCUCUGCUCUUGAUGGACAGAUGAAUGACAGCUUAUUGGAAAGAGGGUCUACAGGGGUGAAGCUACCAAAAGAUGGUAGACUUACAACCACAGAAUGUGGUCCUCACUUAAGAGGCGAUGCAUUUCUAGAAGAACACAUUGAUACUAAAAAGUCAGACUACACACCAAAGGCAGAUGUUUCGGAAUUUGUGAGAUCUGUAACUGACCAAAAAGAGUUCACUUUAAUAGCUUGUCCCGUUGUGACGAGCAUAGCUGGCAUGCCCUCCUUAUUACCGAUAAAGGAAGAGAUACAUUGGCCCAAAGACCACCAAACACUCUAUGAGAGACAGCUAACAAUGAAAGAUGUAUUACUAGCAUGGGCACCAAAGGGUUAUGAAAAUAACGAGAAGAUGAUGCUUUCACUGGUAUCAUCUUGUCCAAGAGAAGCUAUAAAUCCGGGGUUUCCUUCUGUGUCACAGCACAGUUUAAUCUUUCAUGGACCAAAUAUGGUGGAUAUUUCUCCAUCUUGCCCGAUUGUGUCCAGCAUACCAGGGUUACCAUCUAUAAAGGAAACAAAUAAGAGGUCAUGGGUGCCACUUCAGGAAACCAUUUUGGAGAAGAAAAUGAAAGCAGAGCCUCUUGUCUUGGCAUUAUUACAUCAAGAAUACAAUGACUUUUCACAAAUGGUGUCUUUGGUACCAUCUUGUCCAAAACAUUCUUCUAUACCAGGCUUCCCCUCAAUUCCACAAUCCACUGGUAUAUUGUCUGAAAAGUCAAACAUGGUCAGCCUUUUAAGCUCUUGCCCCAAAACAUCUUGUGUCGAAGGUGUUCCUUCAUUGAUACAGCAUUUGAACAAAAGCUGGACAAGAAACUGCAAACUCUUAGGGGGGAAAUUGAAAAAGCCUACAGCCACAUUUGAGAUUAAUGAUGGUCUAGACAAUAAAGAAAUGGAAGCCAUGUUUGCUUUAGCCCCAACCUGUCCAAAAGAAGCUUGUAUUCCUGGAUUUCCAUCUAUUUUGGAAUCUGCAGUAACCUACCAUGGUAGUUCAGUCAGUCUCCUUCCAUGUUGUCCAUCUGUCUGCAGUAUUGCAGGGUUUCCAUCCAUGCAGAACACUGAUGGCAGAAACUGGACCAAGAGACAUCACCCAUUUUGGGAAAGGCCAAUAACAAAGAAGGCUAUAUUACUACUAGAGAACAAGAAAGUAGAUACAGACAUGAAGGGAGUGAUCUCUCUUGUAUCAUCUUGCCCAAGAGAAUCCUGCAUACAUGGUUUCCCUACUGUUCCAAAGUUACAAGUGUUUCAUGCUGUUGAUGUCCCAAGUAUGGUUCAUCUUUCAUGCUCAAAUGUCUCACAAAUAUCAGGUUUUCCAUCAUAUUUUAUUUCAAAAGAAUGGACACCAAGUCUGGAUCCACUACUUCAACCAAAGGUGAAAGGAACACCAGUGUCACUGAUUGACAAAUUUGAAAUGGAUAAGGAAGCAAUGAAAACUAUGGUUUUUCUUGUACCAUCUUGUCCAAAAAUAUCACGGACAUCAGGAUUCCCCUCUAUUCCAAAUCCCAAAAAUGUGUAUUAUGGGCCAAAUCUAAUCAGUCUUCUUCCAAUGUGCCCAAAAGCUUCUAAAAUACCUGGCCUCGCAACAUUAGGAAGGGAUGAGAGUGCAGGAUGGCCAGCAGGCAAGGAGGCAUUUUUUAAGAGACGACCAAAGAAGCCACUUGCAUUUGACACAUCAACUGAACACAAACAUUUGAUGAAGAAUAUGGUCCCAUGUGUACCAUCCUGUCCUAAAGCAGCAAUUAUGGCUGGCUUCCCAUCUGUUCCACAUCCCAAAGUUGUGUAUUUUGGACACAAUGUUGUCAACCUCCUUCCCUUGUGCCCUCUAUUUUCUUCCGUUGCUGGAUAUUCAUCAAUUAAUUGGGAUGGGACGCUAGAUUGGAUUUCUGGCCCCUAUGUAUUAGUACAUAGACCAUGUGAGAAGAAUCAAGUGGAAAUUUCAAACUCACCAGUUGCCGUGGAUGAUCCAAACAACAUGCUUUCUUUGGUUAAUUCUUGCUCAAGAGCACCAAAAAUUACAGGCUUUCCAUCGGUCUCUCGAUACAGUACUUUGAGUCUUCUACCUAUUUGUCCCAAAGUUUCCAGUCUUAUUGGGUUUGCAUCUUUUGAAGUAGGAGUAGAAUGCCAGUGGCUUUUUGCACCAACAGCUUUGUCCAGUAAGCUUAAGAAGGAGAUGUGUUGUAUGAUGGAGAGUCCAAAUCAAGAUAGAGAAACUGUGAAGAGAAUGUUUGCCUUAGCACCAUGCUGUCCAGAAAUGUCAAAGAUCUACGGGAUGUCCUAUACAUGCCGAACCAUAUACAAAACUGAACAAAUGAUAAGUUUUGUACCUUGCUGCCCCAGUGCAUCAAAUAUCAAUGGUAUUGCAUCACUUACAGAAGUCCAAAACCCAAGGUGGAUAACUGACCAAAAACCUCUGUUUAUACAUCGUCAUCAGAAGAGACCAGAAAUGGCCGUGACGCUUUCUGGGUGGAAUCAGCCUUAUUGCCACAACAGUAAAGGUAUGGCAACUUUGGUGUUGUCCUGCCCAAAAGAGGCCAACAUGUUCGGUUUUCCUUCUGCUCCCGUUUCAGACAGGCCACCGGACAUGGUCAGCCUAUAUGCGUCAGCCCCUUGUGUUUCACGUGUCUCCGGUUUUCCGUCAGCUAGGAUGCUUACCUUUGUGUGCAUGGAUCAACCGCCUAGAGCACCGAACCCUGAGUGUUUCUUUGAGAAGCAAGAAAAGGUUAAGAUUGCUGUCAUUGCAAACUAUCUUUCAAAACACCAAAUGGAAAUGGAAUGUAUGGUGGCAAUGGCACCAUCAUUAGCGCCAGUGACUCGAGUUUCUGGAUUCCCCAGCCUUUCACAAUUAAGCCCAACAGAAAACCAAACAGUGACUAUACAUUUGCCUUCUGGAAUGGAAAAGGGUAAAUCAGAAGAGUUACCUCAUGAAGAGACAACACUAUUAUGUGUUAAAGAUGCAAGAAUAUCAGAUUUGCCUUCUACAUCUGGUGAUAGUCCAAGCAUCGUGGUUGUACAUGAGGAGAAACUCCAGGUGGGUCUUGUAAAAAAUGUGGACCUUUCUAUAAAUAAUCGCAAAACACAGUUAGAGCCACUAGCAGCAGAGGAAGUCCAAACAGGGAAGAAACCACUGGACACACCAGUACCAGCGGGAGUCUUAGAUUGGGAAGUACUGGAGGCAGAGGAAGCAGUGGCAGAUAAACAGGCAGCGCCAACAAAGGAGGACACCUCAAGAUUAGUAAAGACUAUUGUUGGGGUGUUCCACAAGGGUUGUGCAACAGUCUCAUCUAUUUUGUGGCCAUCUAGCUCUGCUUUUAAUGAUGGUGAUCAGCUCCCCAAACCCGUCUCUUCUCGGACAUGAAAGAAAAGGCAGUUGGCUCUGCCGCCGGACGAACCUGUUCCACGUACUGCAGUCAACGAGGCUGUCGCACGGGAGAUAAUCCAUUUGGAACAUCACACUGAAUUUCCGACAAGUGCUGAGCCCUACAUGUGGGAGUUGUCCGAUAAUCGAUCAGCAUCUUCAUCGUCGAUAACAGACAGUGACGACGGAUUUUUGAUUUGUGCAAGCAUGAAGAAAUGGCCACCACUGACAGAGGCAGAUAUCACCGAAAUAUCCAAGGACUAUGUUGAAGGAGCAGAAGAACAACAAGCUACACUACAAGAGAGAACAGCCACUGGGGAUGAUUUAGUUGACACAUCAGUCGAUGCGGAAGGUCACUUAGUAAGGCGGUGGACUGAAGCAGAAGAACACGAUGUUAGAACAGUCCCGCAGUAUGAACACCUAGAAAAAGGCCCACAACAAACAAGUGUAGAAGAAAUUUCUGCUGCUGUCCUACAGCCUUCAUCAGAAGAGUCUCUGGAAGAUUACAGAAAACCAAGUGAGACCAUCUUGAAGGAACAGUCAGAUGAGGGCAUUGUUGGUUCGGUUGGACCACAAACUGUUUCUCCAGAAAGCAGAAAGCAAAAAAGAAACAUUCAGAGCCUCAACGGGAAAAGCGUGGUCAAGCAGGCAUUGUUCCCUUGCGGCCGCUGCGAAGGAAGGAGAGUCCAACCUUAGCCCACAAGGAAAAAUUUGAUGAUUGUGUCUAUCAGGCACCCUCAAGAUGUUAUCAGGUCCUGUCUGGAAAAGAAAGAAGCUCAUUCAACAGAGUAAAAAAAGUUCCAAUAUCUCAGGAGAUCCUGAAGCUUUGGAGAAUGUUGAUAAAUCUGUUCAAGCUCCCACUGUGGGUCCUACUUCCACACUUACAGGAAUAAUAGACCAGACAUUUGAACAACACUCACAGGAGCUGAUUUCAUUGACAAUGCAUCUAUACAGGUAGACAAGGAAGUUGUCUCUUCAAAGGAGGUGUUAAACCUCUUUUACAUCUGAAUGUCCCACGAAAAAUAAAGUGGUGAGAUACGUCUACCCAAUCCUUUGAUGGGCGCUUAUGGUCCCUCAAAAAGAAAGGAAGUCCCACAACCAAUUCAGAACCAGAACAAACUGCUGGUCUUUCAAUCUUCAGAACAAUAGGUCUUCACGAUAUAGCAAGAAAUUAUCUUCAAGCAAAUUUGGCACAACCUGGUAAAAACAAGGAAGUGGUAGUGCAAACCAGACAGAGAAGAAUUGGUGGAUGAUAUGGAGAUGAUAAAACAGUCAACUGGUGAGACAUCUAGUGAAAUAUGUGAUAACCAUCUCAGAAAUUGGAGCAUCCAACACCAGAUUCACAGACAAAAACAGAAACAUCUCCACCUAUCCCAAGGCCUCGUGUGAGGAAACGUCUGAGUGCUGGAUUCCCAGAUGACUUCACAGUUUCAGAGAGGACUAGUGAUCAGUUCAGACAGGUCCACCACGGAGAAGAUGGUCCACUAGUCAGUCAGGAUAGACUUUUAGUCACAACUCAAGAUUUGGAACUUGAACAACACAGCAAAAGUCUUGAACCUCUUGUUCUAAGUGAUGAGCCUGGUAGAACAGCAGAAGCUCUUGAACCAGUACAGCUGACCAUUGAGAGCAACGUUCAAGUAGAAGAUG